GACUUUGUUCUGCAGCUGAGUCAUCUUCGAUUCUUCCAAGUACUUGUUUGAGGUCGUUCAGUCGUUGGCUCAAGCUUGUCGCUUUUGGCUUCUGCUCAUGUUUGGAUGCAAUCUCAUGGCAACCACUAUGAAGAAGGAGCAGUUGACUCCUGCUGAGAUGUUGGCUUGACUGUUCUGGAAGAGAUCUUCUGCUUCGAAGGAGAGGUUGCGUGCUGCGGAGUUGACCGAGAGGAUUUUGCUGGAGGAGUCGACUUUGUCUCCACGUUCCCGGAGUGAUCAGUGCAAGGCCAUACAGAAGCUUAACCUAUUUGAAUAAUUCGAUGGAAUUCAGCAACCGACAUGGGCGUGCUAUAUGGAGGAAAUGCGAAUUCUUUCUAUUCAAAUUCUAAUCCAUUGAGAAGAAAUAUCGCCACGAAAU
This is a long non-coding RNA of Morus notabilis, 418 nucleotides long. RefSeq lists it as uncharacterized. The transcript is spliced from 3 exons. The record is from RefSeq and is a predicted model, not a curated record. NCBI's taxonomy places the organism in Eukaryota, Viridiplantae, Streptophyta, Magnoliopsida, Rosales, Moraceae.